Equus asinus (donkey) is the source of this 1335-nucleotide long non-coding RNA. The record is from Ensembl. Lineage: Eukaryota; Metazoa; Chordata; Mammalia; Perissodactyla; Equidae.
UGCUGUCACUUUUGGAGGAUAAGAUAGAAAAACCUCUUGGCCUCUUAUAAACCCCGAGCCCUGCUACCCAGUGCUCCCCGGUCUACUAGUGGCUGAACCCCAUUGUCCUGCACCAGGGUCAGGCCAUUUCCAGUGGUUACCACCCCCUGUGAGGCAGUCGGUGCCUAACCUGGCACUAUGACUUGCUGAGUCCUGCUUCCUUGGGCGUCAAGGGGGAUAAUGGUGUUAAUCACCUCCCAGGUUGUUUGAGGCUGAAGCUAAUUGCCGGUGAAAGCACUUGCUGUGCCACACGACGCUGAAUCCUGUUUUGGACAACAACUCUCCAGAUUUCAGUGGUUCGAUGGGGAGAAGUGGGACCUCCAGCCCCUGUGGUGCCGUGGCCUCAAGGCUGCCAGCCUAACCUCCCUCCGUGGGUCACUUCAUCCCAGGAAAACAGGCCAUCAUCCUGGCCCCACCUUCCUCCCUCCUGGUGCUAUGUAAGUAGGUAGAGCAGUUCAAUCCGCAGGGUUGAGGAAGAACCAGAACAGUGCGGCUGGGGAGAUGUCCUUUGAAGACUGACUCCGGAGAGAAGAGGGAAGGAAGGGAGAGAGAGAAGGAGGGAGAGGAAGAAAGAGAAUGCAGUCUCUCUGGGUUGCAGGUCGCCUCUGGUUGUGCUAUGCAGGACGCUGCCUCAGCAUGGCCUGAUGAACGGUGCUAUUUCCCUGCCCAGGAUCUCAAUUGGCGAAAUUCCGGGCCGUCGAAGUGGAGUGCGUGAACUGAACCACUUGGCCGCGGGGCCGGCUCCCUUUUAAUGAAUUAUUUAUGUCAUUUUGCCAGAAUUGAAUUCUGUGCUGUGGUCAGUCAUCUUUUCCAAAUGGUAUGUUUUUCAGGACGCAACAAGAUUUUAGGCAUUUAAAUUUGUUCCCUCUGUGCAUAGGGCUGGGCAAACACAACUGUUUCCCAUUAACUCAGCCACUCUGAGGCCUCCCUUCUCUCUGGUUUGGGCUGGAGAAGAAGCACAAGCAAGCCCUUCCCAGCUGUUUUUGUGUGGUUGGCAAAGGGCUAACAUCAGCCUUGGAAAAGGAAGGGCCUACAGCCGCUCUGACUCCACUCUGGGGCAGCUGGGCAAUAACGAAGCUGCAGGAUCCCCUUCUCAGGAGGAGCCAGGCUCAGCCUAUGUGUCCUUUGAGAAGGAAAGGGCACCCAGGAAGGGAAACCCCAAGGUUUAGAAAGUGUAGGAUUUGGGAGGCUGAGGUAACAGAGAGAACGAGAAUAUCCUCCCAUGUCUUAUUCUUGAGUUCAGGAGUUAAUAAACUACAUCCUGAAGCCAAAUCCAGCCCACUGUCUGUUUUUGUA